AUUGAACGCUGGCGGCAGGCCUAACACAUGCAAGUCGAACGGUAACAGGAAGAAGCUUGCUUCUUUGCUGACGAGUGGCGGGCGGGUGAGUAAUGUCUGGGAAACUGCCUGAUGGAGGGGGAUAACUACUGGAAACGGUAGCUAAUACCGCAUAACGUCGCAAGACCAAAAAGGGGGACCUUCGGGCCUCUUGCCAUCGGAUGUGCCCAGAUGGGAUUAGCUAGUAGGUGGGGUAACGGCUCACCUAGGCGACGAUCCCUAGCUGGUCUGAGAGGAUGACCAGCCACACUGGAACUGAGACACGGUCCAGACUCCUACGGGAGGCAGCAGUGGGAAUAUUGCACAAUGGGCGCAAGCCUGAUGCAGCCAUGCCGCGUGU
This 379-nucleotide ribosomal RNA is filed under the name uncultured bacterium. Its description in RNAcentral is "bacterial SSU rRNA". It matches the Rfam family "Bacterial small subunit ribosomal RNA", at positions 30 to 404 of the family's 1533-position model. The record is from RNAcentral.